RNAcentral lists this transfer RNA (76 nucleotides) under Yaniella sp. Its description in RNAcentral is "tRNA-Lys". It matches the Rfam family "tRNA". From Rfam's summary of the family: Transfer RNA (tRNA) molecules are approximately 80 nucleotides in length. Their secondary structure includes four short double-helical elements and three loops (D, anti-codon, and T loops). Lineage: Bacteria; Bacillati; Actinomycetota; Actinomycetes; Micrococcales; Micrococcaceae. The record is from RNAcentral.
GCGCUCUUAGCUCAAUUGGUAGAGCACCUGACUCUUAAUCAGUAGGUUCCGGGGUCGAGUCCCGGAGGGCGCACCA